GAGUUUGAUCGUGGCUCAGAUUGAACGCUGGCGGCAUGCCUUACACAUGCAAGUCGAACGGCAGCAUGAUCUAGCUUGCUAGAUUGAUGGCGAGUGGCGAACGGGUGAGUAAUACAUCGGAACGUGCCCUGUAGUGGGGGAUAACUAGCCGAAAGAUUAGCUAAUACCGCAUACGACCUGAGGGUGAAAGUGGGGGACCGCAAGGCCUCAUGCUAUAGGAGCGGCCGAUGUCUGAUUAGCUAGUUGGUGGGGUAAAGGCCCACCAAGGCGACGAUCAGUAGCUGGUCUGAGAGGACGAUCAGCCACACUGGGACUGAGACACGGCCCAGACUCCUACGGGAGGCAGCAGUGGGAAUUUUGGACAAUGGGCGAAGCCUGAUCCAGCAAUGCCGCGUGUGUGAAGAAGGCCUCGGUUCGUAA
RNAcentral lists this ribosomal RNA (420 nucleotides) under uncultured microorganism. Its description in RNAcentral is "bacterial SSU rRNA". It matches the Rfam family "Bacterial small subunit ribosomal RNA", at positions 9 to 428 of the family's 1533-position model. The record is from RNAcentral.